RNAcentral lists this small RNA (147 nucleotides) under Pantoea agglomerans. Its description in RNAcentral is "Glm Y RNA activator of glmS mRNA". It matches the Rfam family "GlmZ RNA activator of glmS mRNA", at positions 3 to 156 of the family's 214-position model. Rfam says of the family: This RNA was discovered in E. coli during a large scale screen. The sraJ gene was expressed in early logarithmic phase, but its level decreased with cell growth. The record is from RNAcentral. Lineage: Bacteria; Pseudomonadati; Pseudomonadota; Gammaproteobacteria; Enterobacterales; Erwiniaceae.
AGAUGCUCAUUCCACCUCUUAUGUCUGCUGAUGCUACAUAAACCUGGGAAUGACGCAGAGCCAAUUUUAGGUACCUGUUGUCUGCCUGCCUGUAUCGCGAAAGCCUUACAGGGUUAACAGACACCACGUUGAGUCAGGUACCUCCCG